Molecule: ribosomal RNA, 468 nt
Filed under: uncultured bacterium
Lineage: Bacteria
Description: partial 16S ribosomal RNA
Rfam family: Bacterial small subunit ribosomal RNA
Source: RNAcentral
GACGAACGCUGGCGGCGUGCUUAACACAUGCAAGUCGAACGGUGAAGCUCCAGCUUGCUGGAGUGGAUCAGUGGCGAACGGGUGAGUAACACGUGAGCAACCUGCCCCUGACUCUGGAAUAAGCGCUGGAAACGGCGUCUAAUACUGGAUACGAGAAGGGCCCGCGUGGGCACUUUCUGGAAAGUUUUUCGGUUGGGGAUGGGCUCGCGGCCUAUCAGCUUGUUGGUGAGGUAAUGGCUCACCAAGGCGACGACGGGUAGCCGGCCUGAGAGGGCGACCGGCCACACUGGGACUGAGACACGGCCCAGACUCCUACGGGAGGCAGCAGUGGGGAAUAUUGCACAAUGGGCGAAAGCCUGAUGCAGCGACGCCGCGUGAGGGAUGACGGCCUUCGGGUUGUAAACCUCUUUCAGCAGGGAAGAAGCGAAAGUGACGGUACCUGCAGAAGAAGCACCGGCUAACUACGUG